Molecule: ribosomal RNA, 147 nt
Filed under: Blautia schinkii
Lineage: Bacteria; Bacillati; Bacillota; Clostridia; Lachnospirales; Lachnospiraceae
Description: partial 16S ribosomal RNA
Rfam family: Bacterial small subunit ribosomal RNA
Source: RNAcentral
UUUUAUCAGAGAGUUUGAUCCUGGCUCAGGAUGAACGCUGGCGGCGUGCUUAACACAUGCAAGUCGAACGGGAAACUUUAUUGAAACUUCGGUCGAUAUGAUUUUUCUAGUGGCGGACGGGUGAGUAACGCGUGGGUAACCUGCCUU